Molecule: ribosomal RNA, 461 nt
Filed under: uncultured bacterium
Lineage: Bacteria
Description: SSU rRNA
Rfam family: Bacterial small subunit ribosomal RNA
Source: RNAcentral
AGAGCGAACGCUGGCGGCAGGCCUAAUACAUGCAAGUCGAACGGACCCUUCGGGGUUAGUGGCGGACGGGUGAGUAACACGUGGGAACGUGCCCUUUGGUUCGGAACAACUCAGGGAAACUUGAGCUAAUACCGAAUGUGCCCCCUCCUUUGAUUAGGGGGGUGGGAAAGAUUUAUCGCCAUUGGAGCGGCCCGCGUCUGAUUAGCUAGUUGGUGGGGUAAAGGCCCACCAAGGCUACGAUCAGUAGCUGGUCUGAGAGGAUGAUCAGCCACACUGGGACUGAGACACGGCCCAGACUCCUACGGGAGGCAGCAGUAGGGAAUCUUGCGCAAUGGGCGAAAGCCUGACGCAGCCAUGCCGCGUGAAUGAUGAAGGUCUUAGGAUUGUAAAAUUCUUUCAGCGGGGACGAUAAUGACGGUACCCGUAGAAGAAGCCCCGGCUAACUUCGUGCCAGCAGCCGC